This 465-nucleotide ribosomal RNA is filed under the name Vreelandella stevensii. RNAcentral describes it as "partial 16S ribosomal RNA". It matches the Rfam family "Bacterial small subunit ribosomal RNA", at positions 338 to 795 of the family's 1533-position model. Lineage: Bacteria; Pseudomonadati; Pseudomonadota; Gammaproteobacteria; Oceanospirillales; Halomonadaceae. The record is from RNAcentral.
CCUACGGGUGGCAGCAGUGGGGAAUAUUGGACAAUGGGCGAAAGCCUGAUCCAGCCAUGCCGCGUGUGUGAAGAAGGCCUUCGGGUUGUAAAGCACUUUCAGUGGGGAAGAAAGCCUUGGGGCUAAUACCCUCGAGGAAGGACAUCACCCACAGAAGAAGCACCGGCUAACUCCGUGCCAGCAGCCGCGGUAAUACGGAGGGUGCGAGCGGUAAUCGGAAUUACUGGGCGUAAAGCGCGCGUAGGCGGUCUGAUAAGCCGGUUGUGAAAGCCCCGGGCUCAACCUGGGAACGGCAUCCGGAACUGUCAGGCUAGAGUGCAGGAGAGGAAGGUAGAAUUCCCGGUGUAGCGGUGAAAUGCGUAGAGAUCGGGAGGAAUACCAGUGGCGAAGGCGGCCUUCUGGACUGACACUGACGCUGAGGUGCGAAAGCGUGGGUAGCAAACAGGAUUAGAUACCCGAGUAGUC